UCAAAGCUCUCCUGAGCCUGCUGGUCCUCAAAGGCUUGGUCUUGAUCACUAACGUACGGCUCACCGUCUAUUCCCAAACAUCAAUCAACAACACGCAAUCCAAUAGAGACAAUCAUACACAAAGCAAACAAGAUAUAAUUAGAACAUUACACCAACAGUGAUAAAUCAAAGAUAAAAGUUUAUGAAAAUAUUCUACGCAGCGCUACGAUCACACAAACGUAAAGUUCACGAAAAUCGGAAUUAAAACGUGGAAGAUAUGAAUUUUCUAAGAUUUCUUAUAGAGAAAUAAUUAAUUUAAAUGCUACUGCAGAAUUAAAAAGUUUCAAAACAGAGAAUAAAUAGUUCUAACACGUAGAGCUUGUAAAUACGAAUCUAACGAAAUUUGAAUGGACAAAAACGGAGUUAAAACGAAGAAAAUAUGGCGUAAACAAACUAGUGUAUUUUCUUUGUAUUACUAGAUUUAUUUUCCUAAAGGAAAACGGCAAUAAUGCUGGGUUGACGUCAUGGUGAUGUCAUCGUGAUCUCAUCAUGCUAAUUAGCCAUCGCAGCAGAGCAGACAUGAAGAUUACGCAAGACUUAUCAAUUGCAGAUGAUGAGGUCGAGAGUGCCUGCUGCAGCCCACACAGUAAGAGCAGAAAGGCGGACUCCCCUAGCUCUUAUUAGGAUCAAAACAGAGACAAUGGAGAACUCAUCGCAAGCGAUUUCGUGAUGAAAAAAAAUACAAGGCGAGGAUGUCGGAUGGCUCGGAGAGGCAGGGACGGGUUCCUCAGAACGAAGCUUAGCGUCCUGCUUGGUUCAUCGGAGAAGCGGCUCCGAAGGACCAUCUUGGCUCCUCGACGGGAUACUCGGCGGUGACUCAGAGACGAUGAGGAAGCCACGAACGGCGGUCACCACGGCGGCGAGCUGAGCUAGGGCUUCGGAACGGCGCUGCAAGGUCGAGAAGAGUCGGCGGCUUGCCUAGGGUUAUAAUAGACGAUGCGCACACAUGGCUUGGGUUUUACGCAAUAUCCUGUAUGAUUUGGAAUUUGCAUCGACUUCCGUCGGCUUGGAGUCUGAGCAGAGCACGGCAGGAGAUAGAGGAAGGUGGCUGACAU
RNAcentral lists this long non-coding RNA (1094 nucleotides) under Sorghum bicolor (sorghum). RNAcentral describes it as "long non-coding RNA (SBIC_LNC004338)". Lineage: Eukaryota; Viridiplantae; Streptophyta; Magnoliopsida; Poales; Poaceae. The record is from RNAcentral.